ACCCGCGUCUGAUUAGCUAGUUGGUAAGGUAACGGCUUACCAAGGCGACGAUCAGUAGCCGACCUGAGAGGGUGAUCGGCCACAUUGGAACUGAGACACGGUCCAAACUCCUACGGGAGGCAGCAGUGGGGAAUAUUGCACAAUGGGCGAAAGCCUGAUGCAGCAACGCCGCGUGAGUGAUGAAGGCCUUCGGGUCGUAAAACUCUGUCCUCAAGGAAGAUAAUGACGGUACUUGAGGAGGAAGCCCCGGCUAACUACGUGCCAGCAGCCGCGGUAAUACGUAGGGGGCUAGCGUUAUCCGGAUUUACUGGGCGUAAAGGGUGCGUAGGCGGUCUUUCAAGUCAGGAGUGAAAGGCUACGGCUCAACCGUAGUAAGCUCUUGAAACUGGGAGACUUGAGUGCAGGAGAGGAGAGUGGAAUUCCUAGUGUAGCGGUGAAAUGCGUAGAUAUUAGGAGGAACACCAGUUGCGAAGGCGGCUCUCUGGACUGUAACUGACGCUGAGGCACGAAAGCGUGGGGAGCAAACAGGAUUAGAUACCCUGGUAGUCCACGCUGUAAACGAUGAGUAC
This 569-nucleotide ribosomal RNA is filed under the name Clostridioides difficile. RNAcentral describes it as "bacterial SSU rRNA". It matches the Rfam family "Bacterial small subunit ribosomal RNA", at positions 229 to 816 of the family's 1533-position model. The record is from RNAcentral. Lineage: Bacteria; Bacillati; Bacillota; Clostridia; Peptostreptococcales; Peptostreptococcaceae.